Molecule: ribosomal RNA, 1071 nt
Filed under: Triticum aestivum (bread wheat)
Lineage: Eukaryota; Viridiplantae; Streptophyta; Magnoliopsida; Poales; Poaceae
Description: partial small subunit ribosomal RNA
Source: RNAcentral
AUGAGCGAGAUAUCGUCGUCGUCGGCGGCGGCGGCGGACGGGAAGCAGGGGCCGUCGACGGGGCCGGCGGCGUGGGAGACGUCCCCGGUGGAGGAGGUGCGGCUGACGGUGCCCGACGGCGACGACCCGACGCUGCCGGUGUGGACGUUCCGGAUGUGGGCCAUCGGGCUGCUGGCCUGCGCGCUCAUGAGCUUCCUCAACCAGUUCUUCUCCUACCGGACGGAGCCGCUGGUGGUGACCCAGAUCACGGUGCAGGUGGCGUCGCUGCCCGUGGGCCACUUCCUGGCCCGCGCGCUGCCCCGCCGCAGGUUCCGCGUCGGCGGCCGGGAGUGGAGCCUCAACCCGGGGCCCUUCAGCAUGAAGGAGCACGUGCUCAUCUCCAUCUUCGCCAACGCCGGCUUCGCCUUCGGCAACGGCAACGCCUACUCGGUGAUGAUCGUCGACAUCAUCCGCGCCUUCUACCGCCGCUCCAUCUCCUUCCUCGCCGCGACACUGCACGAGAAGGAGGAAUUUACCGGGGGCUCAAAGCGGAUGUCCCGCUCCAAGUUCUUCCUGGUGGUGCUCAUCUGCAGCUUCGUGUGGGCCUUCGUGCCAGGCUACCUCUUCCAGUCGCUGACCUCCAUCUCGUGGGUGUGCUGGGUCUUCUCCAAGUCCGUCACGGCGCAGCAGCUCGGCUCGGGCAUGAAGGGCCUGGGUCUCGGAGCUUUCACGCUCGACUGGACCGCCAUCUCCUCCUUCCUCUUCAGCCCGCUCAUCUCGCCCUUCUUCGCCACCGUCAAUGUCUUCGUCGGCUACGUCUUGUUCAUGUAUGUGGUGAUGCCCACGGCGUAUUGGGGGAUGAACCUCUACAACGCCAAGACGUUCCCCAUAUUCUCCUCUCACCUCUUCGCCUCCAAUGGGUCGCCCUAUAAGAUCGCCGACAUUGUGAACCAGCAGUUCCGGCUUGACACGGAGGCGUACGCCAAGCUCGGACGCAUAAACCUCAGCAUCUUUUUUGCAAUCUCUUAUGGCCUCAACUUUGCCACCAUCGCCGCAACCAUCACGCACGUCGGCCUCUUCUACGGCAAGUAA